RNAcentral lists this long non-coding RNA (1146 nucleotides) under Anas platyrhynchos platyrhynchos (common mallard). Its description in RNAcentral is "lncRNA (ENSAPLG00000021569.1)". The record is from RNAcentral. Lineage: Eukaryota; Metazoa; Chordata; Aves; Anseriformes; Anatidae.
AUGAGGUCCACCCUGGUGACAGGUCACCACAAACCACAGCCACAUCUAGCGAGUGGCACACAUGCCAGAAGCAGAAGGCUUUACCUAGCAGCCCAAAUUGGGGGAAGAAAAAAUUGCACAAGCCUUCAAAGUGUAACAGCUAGUUACAGUAACACCAUUAGGAAAAGGUUAAGUUACAUUAGGAAAGGACACAGGGUUUUUUCCUCCCUGUUCAAAGCAAACAGAGUUGGGAAGAGACUGCUGGCUGAAACGCUGAGCACGGCUCUCAGCAUCCCUCACCUUUCCUUUCUCACCCCCUCGAUUCUGCCGUGCCCGCACCUCCAGCCUUACAAACUGAGCAGGAAGACCCCGAAGGACCCCCCCAAAUUUAAUGCCACGCACUUCUUACAGCACGCCAGGGCAGCACCUACGAGAAAGCGCUACAACCCACCAACCCCGCCUUGCACAACCGAGCAGCCAAGGGCGAAAUUGUGCAACUUGCGCCUAUUUUAUCAAACUCUCGCUGGCUCGGGCCACAGCAGGGGGGGAAACUUCAAAACGCAGAGCCGGCACGGACCCCAAGCCCCAGCUAUCGCUCCGAGGCUCCCCCCAGCAGCUCCUGAGCCCCGUGCCGAGCCGUGCCAAGCCGAGCCGAGCCAGGCAGCCCGUCCCCGGGGCAAGCGACCCAGCAGCACUCCGUAUCCGCAUAGACACGGGGGGCACCCCCCAGCCCCACUCGGGACCACGGUAACAUUACAGCCCACGGUGAAAUUAAGCUACGAGAAGCCCCGCGGAGUUUCAAACCCACCGCCCAACCUGCCGGCUCUCCGCUCCUCCUCCUCCUCUUCCUCGCCCCUUCGCCUCUCGCUCACCACCCGGUGCCUGCAGGGCGCGGAGCGGCGAGGACACCCGCGGCGUCUGCCGGGCGGCGGCUCCGUCCCCCCGCUCUUGUUUGCACUUCCGUCUGCUGCUGCUCCUCCCCCGGCACGGCAAGGCUCGGUUUGGCUCAGCACGGCUUGGCUCAGCUGGGCUCAGCACGGCAGGGACGGGGGCAGGGGCGGGGCGCGCCCGGAGAGGGGCGCGGAGCUGGAAAUCCUCAAAUGCACCGCUGCCAGGCGGCCUUGGAGUUCAUUAUUAUUAUUAAUUAUAAAUAAUAAACAUUUUUGA